CCAUAGCAAUUUACCCACCCUUACUGCACAGCGAGUACUGUAACUCUGACAGAAAGAAAGUCUGACAGUUUAAUUGCAGAAAACAGGGGACGGGAAAACUAAGCCUUCCCAGCCAUAUUUGGCAGAAGUUCUGGAAUGAGAUUGCCAUUAGAGGAGAAAGUAGGAAGCGAACCCUCAUGAGGAGCACCUAAGAGAGAUCAGGACGCUCUAACUUGGCCAAGGGGAGACAAGGAGAACCUGGAGCUCUUGCCACCAAGGAACGGAACAGAAGUAAGCUGUCUUCUGUGUCCAUGUCACCUGGCUUCAGUUAGAAAUACAAGAAUAAACAGGAAAAUAACUUGCAGCAUAUAGUUUGAGAAUCAUCCCACCUGUUGCCUACCUGAACCAAGAACAAGAUCCUGGAGCAGGACUGUGCUGGUACUAGUUUGCUGCAGAUCUACUGGGAUCCUUAUAUUGAGAGAGACCUAAUAGGUAAGUAAAAAUCAGAGUUUAUUCAAGGAGCCAAGGCCCUUAGAAGAGAGUACUAUUGCUAUCUGCCCU
Molecule: long non-coding RNA, 540 nt
Filed under: Athene cunicularia (burrowing owl)
Lineage: Eukaryota; Metazoa; Chordata; Aves; Strigiformes; Strigidae
Description: lncRNA (ENSACUG00000013997.1)
Source: RNAcentral